Molecule: long non-coding RNA, 779 nt
Filed under: Prunus persica (peach)
Lineage: Eukaryota; Viridiplantae; Streptophyta; Magnoliopsida; Rosales; Rosaceae
Description: long non-coding RNA (PPER_LNC007527)
Source: RNAcentral
UUUUGAGAUCUUUGUGUAUCUUACUGGCUUUUCUACUAUCGGUAUUGUUUAAGUUUAUUCUUGUUUUCUAUUUUCUUAAUGCUUGUCAGGUAGGAUUGUUUAUCACAAAGCUUAGAGCAAUGGUUCCUGCUAAAGGUACCUCAUUUCUCAUAGAACUGAUAUAUUUUGUAUAAAACCCAGGAAAAGAAAGAAAAAAAGAAUUUGGGUUUCAUAGUUUUCUCGCUCUUCUAAUUUUCUUGUUGUUUAUUAGUAUUGGUUCUUUUGAUUGUUCAAGUGUUUGAUGUUUGAAUGCUGAGCUUGAUUGGUUUGACAAUUUCAUCUCUCCCUACAGAAAACUUGUCCAAAAGGAGGCUUCUUUCUCUUCUUCUCCCAAAAACUAUGCCCUCUGUCAAGCCAGACCCUAGUUUGCCCCUUCUUCUCUGUGUCUCACCCUUAUUUUAUGGGGCUGCCUAUCUGCCUGUUGUUCUGAUUUUGGCUAGAUCUCCCACAUUUGGACCAUUGUUGUAUGUGUUCUUGAUGCGGUUUGGUGGUAGAUCUAGUUAGAUCUCAUUUGGAUCUAUUUUCUGUGGAGGUGUACACCAAAACACAGAUCACAGGUAGACCAGGAGCUGCAAAACUAUGCGAUUACUGACUUCUUAUUUUCUUAUGAUUACAUCAAAUUAAGAUUGCUGCGAAGGGCUCCGUUUAUGAGGGUGUUUUAUGGUUUAUGUUGGGUUAGCUGGACUGGUUAGGGUUCUUUGUAUAAAUUUAAUUGUGUUGGUUGUGUCUGUAUGUGUGUG